This 92-nucleotide ribosomal RNA is filed under the name Cladosporium sp. MA 4674. Its description in RNAcentral is "partial 18S ribosomal RNA". It matches the Rfam family "Eukaryotic small subunit ribosomal RNA", at positions 1733 to 1824 of the family's 1831-position model. The record is from RNAcentral. Lineage: Eukaryota; Fungi; Ascomycota; Dothideomycetes; Cladosporiales; Cladosporiaceae.
ACGACCACCCAGGGCCGGAAAGUUGGUCAAACCCGGUCAUUUAGAGGAAGUAAAAGUCGUAACAAGGUCUCCGUAGGUGAACCUGCGGAGGG